UGGGGAAUAUUGGACAAUGGGCGAAAGCCUGAUCCAGCAAUGCCGCGUGAGUGAAGAAGGCCUUCGGGUUGUAAAGCUCUUUUGUCAGGGAAGAAACGGUAGUAGCGAAUAACUACUACUAAUGACGGUACCUGAAGAAUAAGCACCGGCUAACUACGUGCCAGCAGCCGCGGUAAUACGUAGGGUGCAAGCGUUAAUCGGAAUUACUGGGCGUAAAGCGUGCGCAGGCGGUUGUGUAAGUCAGAUGUGAAAUCCCCGGGCUCAACCUGGGAAUUGCAUUUGAGACUGCACGGCUAGAGUGUGUCAGAGGGGGGUAGAAUUCCACGUGUAGCAGUGAAAUGCGUAGAUAUGUGGAGGAACACCGAUGGCGAAGGCAGCCCCCUGGGUCAAGAUUGACGCUCAUGCACGAAAGCGUGGGGAGCAAACAGGAUUAGAUACCCGGGUAGUCCCUGAGCGGGCUGGCAAGGCGCAU
RNAcentral lists this ribosomal RNA (472 nucleotides) under uncultured bacterium. RNAcentral describes it as "bacterial SSU rRNA". It matches the Rfam family "Bacterial small subunit ribosomal RNA", at positions 355 to 825 of the family's 1533-position model. The record is from RNAcentral.